GGGGAAGGCCACUGACAGUGUUUCAGCUACAUGUCAUAGAAUUUAUUUGAAAAGCUUCAACAAAGAAGCAAUGAGACAACCACAACAGCUAGAGGAGCUAAUUUGAAGCUGGAAUUCCAUCACUUCCACUGGCUUUGUUCAUAGUGAUGCUUCCUAAGGCCCACUUCAUUUCACACUCCAAGAUAUCUGACUCUAGGCCUGGAAUCAGUGUUUUCCAAGGAGCAACAUAAAGUUCCAAGACCAGAAUCGAAGCCCCAGAGGUGGUCAUUGCUACUCAUUUCUUGCUGCUUCUGGAAGUUCUCAGUGGACAGUUAACAGACUAACAGGAGGAUCUACAGCAGCUUAGAGGUGCUUCUGUGUGUUCCUAGCAACGGGGAAACCAUGACACAGCGGGACCUCAGCAGGAGCUGUCUGCAUUUUCUCAUCUGUAAUGAGGAAAAACUGAAAAAUAUGGCUUCUACCCACGUUCAAGAAGCAGACAGACCAAGAAUCUACUGCUCUGUCUGGUUGACCUACCCCGUGACUGAAUUUUGCAAUGAAUCCUUAUCAGGUUGUUAUACACCAUUGCAACUGGGCACCUUAAAAUUAGAUGGAAGGAACAGAGUAUGUUACCGGAGGAUGUGCUGACUGGAUAAAAAAAACGUGUUAGAAUUCACCGAAGGCUACAGUCAGGUUUUGGAGAGUCAGAAACCCUAGGACCAAUUGACCAUCAUCGAGAAAACUGCCAAGGUCCUGCAUCAAAGUUCCAGAUGAAAUUAUGCAAAGUCCUCCAAGGCCUCAAAAUCUGCAAUCAAUUUCUGCUUCUUUACACAGAAAGAUGAUGUGGAGUAGUGGUCACGGAUUAUCUUAGCUCUCUGAGACUGCUGCACUGCCAAUCUCGGAAAACAAGACAGAGGCUUGUGAUUCUCACAGAAUGACAGCUGAGAUGUCAUCGCAAGUGUUUAGCGACUUUUAAAUCCUGUCAUUUUU
Dama dama (fallow deer) is the source of this 969-nucleotide long non-coding RNA. RefSeq lists it as uncharacterized. The transcript is spliced from 10 exons. The record is from RefSeq and is a predicted model, not a curated record. NCBI's taxonomy places the organism in Eukaryota, Metazoa, Chordata, Mammalia, Artiodactyla, Cervidae.